CAGUCGCCGCGGGAAUACAGAGGGUGCGAGCGUUAAUCGGAUUUACUGGGCGUAAAGCGUGCGUAGGCGGCUUUUUAAGUCGGAUGUGAAAUCCCUGAGCUUAACUUAGGAAUUGCAUUCGAUACUGGGAAGCUAGAGUAUGGGAGAGGAUGGUAGAAUUCCAGGUGUAGCGGUGAAAUGCGUAGAGAUCUGGAGGAAUACCGAUGGCGAAGGCAGCCAUCUGACCUAAUACUGACGCUGAGGUACGAAAGCAUGGGGAGCAAACAGGAUUAGAGACCCGGGUAGUCCCUGUCUCUUAUAC
RNAcentral lists this ribosomal RNA (301 nucleotides) under uncultured bacterium. Its description in RNAcentral is "partial 16S ribosomal RNA". It matches the Rfam family "Bacterial small subunit ribosomal RNA", at positions 509 to 807 of the family's 1533-position model. The record is from RNAcentral.